UCCCGGUAGUUCAGAGGUUAAAGCGUCUGCCUGCAAUGCAGGAGACCCGGGUUUGAUCCCUGGGUUGGGAA
RNAcentral lists this transfer RNA (71 nucleotides) under Ovis aries (sheep). It matches the Rfam family "tRNA". From Rfam's summary of the family: Transfer RNA (tRNA) molecules are approximately 80 nucleotides in length. Their secondary structure includes four short double-helical elements and three loops (D, anti-codon, and T loops). Further hydrogen bonds mediate the characteristic L-shaped molecular structure. tRNAs have two regions of fundamental functional importance: the anti-codon, which is responsible for specific mRNA codon recognition, and the 3' end, to which the tRNAs corresponding amino acid is attached (by aminoacyl-tRNA synthetases). tRNAs cope with the degeneracy of the genetic code in two manners: having more than one tRNA (with a specific anti-codon) for a particular amino acid; and 'wobble' base-pairing, i.e. permitting non-standard base-pairing at the 3rd anti-codon position. Lineage: Eukaryota; Metazoa; Chordata; Mammalia; Artiodactyla; Bovidae. The record is from Rfam by way of RNAcentral.